RNAcentral lists this microRNA (22 nucleotides) under Cordylochernes scorpioides. Lineage: Eukaryota; Metazoa; Arthropoda; Arachnida; Pseudoscorpiones; Chernetidae. The record is from RNAcentral.
UUGGCACUGGCACAUUUUUGUG